UACCACUUCCAAGGAAGGCAGCAGGCGCGCAACUUACCCUAAUCUCGAUUCGAGGAGGUAGUGACAAGAAAUACCGAUGCGGGACCCUACGGGUGCCGCGUUCGGAAUGAGUACGAUUCGAACCACCUAACGAGGAACGAUCGGAGGGCAAGUCUGGUGCCAGCAGCCGCGGUAAUUCCAGCUCCAAUAGCGUACGUUAAAGUUGCUGCAGUUAAAAAGCUCGUAGUUGAACGUUCGGGUUCCGCGGGACGGGGCCGCCCCGCGAGGGACGGCGCCGCCCCGGGGCUCGUGAUAUCUCAUCUCGCCGCCCGUCGCGAGGCGGACGGAGGGAUGGAUGAGGUUACCUGGAAAAAAUCGGGGCGAUCUAGGCGGGCGAACCUCGCCAACGAACGAUCGGACAUGGGAUAACGGAAGAGGGCGUCGGCUCGACUUCGUCGGUUCCUCGGGCCGAGGCACGUACGGUGAAUAGGGACGGUCGGGGCCGCCCGUACCGGGUCGUGAGAGGUGAAAUUCUAGGAUCGACCCGAGACGAACCGCCGCGAAAGCAUUCGGCAAGGACGCUUUCAUUAAUCAAGAACGAAAGUCGGGGGAUCGAAGACGAUCAGAUACCGUCGUAGUCCCGACCGUAAACGAUGCCGACCGAGGGCCCGGAGGAGUUACGUACGACCCUCCGGGCCCUCCCGCGAGAAAUCAGGAGUAUUCGGGUUCCGGGGGGAGUAUGGUCGCAAGGCCGAAACUUAAAGGAAUUGACGGAAGGGCACCACCAGGAGUGGAAUCUGCGG
This 782-nucleotide ribosomal RNA is filed under the name Arcella intermedia laevis. RNAcentral describes it as "bacterial SSU rRNA". It matches the Rfam family "Eukaryotic small subunit ribosomal RNA", at positions 408 to 1188 of the family's 1831-position model. Lineage: Eukaryota; Tubulinea; Elardia; Arcellinida; Arcellidae. The record is from RNAcentral.